GCUAUGCCAAAUAGCAUCAGCGAACUUUAUGCGCCGCCACGGGAGGUACGGGUUUUAGCCGUUCGUAGAGACGGCUGAACGGAUAAUACCCCUACAUAAAAUCGUCUUGAACCAGUUAGCAAUUACUAAGAAGCGUACAAAGAGGAAGCAAAAAAUUUAGAGAAAGUGAUUUGAUAUUUAGUGAUUUUAUAUAGCUAAUUUUACGGACAUUUGUGGAUAUCAUAGGACACAAAACUUAAUCUGGAAAGUACCAGGUUGGAUAUAUUUGUUUCUUUGGUGUGAUUACCACCGAUUGUUUAAAAACUUUGUUUUCUUUAUCUGUUUAUAGGCCUAUCGCCGACUGUCACCGAGUCAAAACGGGAAUAUGGCAUUGAGUCGUAUUCAAACUGGAAUACGUGUGGCUGUUUUAAGUCAUAGUUUUAUUCGUCGGCUGCAUGAAGACUUUAAACAAAAUUCAUAUCCCUCAAACUACGAUUUGGAAGAGUGUUCCGUGGUCCACUUUGGGAUAGGUGGCUUUAAAGUAUGUGAUGGUGAUGCAGUUACGUAUUUCAGCUCAAAAUUUGGGGAUUUUCUGAGACAAGUUGAGCCAAACAUCGUACUUCUUCAAUUAGGAAGUAACGACGUCGAUUCAGUAAAAUCUUCUCUGGACAUUGCCAAUAGAAUUGAAGAAAUAACAGCUCUAAUUAUUCAGGAGUAUGCUGUAGAGAAAGUUGUAGUGUGCGAAAUAUUCACCCGUGCUCGACCAACGAAAGUUACGUCAGAUUUAUUUGAACACAAACGCUUGCACUCAGUAUCAAUCCUGCAAACUCUUUUGGAUAUGCAUGAUAAAGCAAGAUUCUGGAAGCACAGAAGGCUGUUUUACUCACAGACUCCCAUAUUCCGGAAAGAUGGAAUCCACCUUAACCACAAUGGACAGCGACGCUUUUACAGGUCCUUGAGACAUGCCAUCAUGUCAGCUGUUAGAUCGGUAAUCAAGGAUCGGUCGUAGGGGAGUAUUGUUAUUUUUUAUUUUUAUUGGUAUAUUAGUUCAUCAUAAAACCUGUCUGUUGAUAAGAAGUGUGGAAGGGAAUAAAGCCAGUAUAAAUAAUAUGAUAUCAUAGAAUAUAAUAUUAUAGCUUGAGAGUCACUAUAUUCAUAAUAUUAUUUAUGUUAUCAUGAAGAUAAUAAUUACGGUAUAGUCUUUACAGAGACAAUUAACUUAAUUAUUGUUGUCUGAGAGCCAUUGGGCUAUAGCAGAAAUUUUAUAAAUUUUUAUAAGCCAUAAAUAGUCUUAAGCAAAAUUUAAAAAAAAAAAAAAAAAAAAAAAAAAACCUCAAAAGUGAAAUAUAAACAGACAAUGAUCACAAUCACUUAAUGUCUACCAUUAGAAUGUUCAAUUGUUUGGAACACUUUCUGUGCAUAUCACAUUAAGCACAGAUCUUUAACUUUAUUCAAAUUAUUAUGUUUGUUUUCUUUGAGCCAUUGUGCUUUAGCACAGCCAUAUUUUCUGUGAGCCAUUUAGCAUUAGCACAGGUUUUUAUAUUUUCUGCGAGUCCUUAGGGCUUUAGCGCAGGCUUAAAUAACAUGUUUUCUGUGAGCCAUUGAGCUUUAGCACAGGUGUGUAUAUUUCCUGCGAGUCCUUAGGGCUUUAGCGCAGGCUUAAACAACAUGUUUUUCUGUGAGCUAUUGAGCUUUAGCACAGGUUCUUAUAUUUUCUGCGAGUCCUUAGGGCUUUAGCGCAGGCUUAAAUAACUUGUUUUUCUGUGAGCCAUUGGGCUUUAGCACAGGUUUUUAUUUUUCUGCGAGUCAUUGAGGGCUUUAGCGCAGGUUUUUAUUUUUCUGUGAGCUUUUGAGCUUUAGCACAGGUUUUUAUUUUUCUGCGAGUCAUUGAGGGCUUUUAGCGCAGGUUUUUAUUUUUCUGUGAGCUUUUGAGCUUUAGCACAGGUUUUUAUUUUUCUGCGAGUCAUUGAGGGCUUUAGCGCAGGUUUUUAUUUUUCUGUGAGCUUUUGAGCUUUAGCACAGGUUUUUAUUUUUCUGCGAGUCAUUGAGGGCUUUAGCGCAGGUUUUUAUUUUUACUGUGAGCUUUUGAGCUUUAGCACAGGUUUUUAUUUUUCUGCGAGUCAUUGAGGGCUUUAGCGCAGGUUUUUAUUUUUCUGUGAGCUUUUGAGCUUUAGCACAGGUUUUUAUUUUUCUGCGAGUCUUUGAGGGCUUUAGCGCAGGUUUUUAUUUUUCUGUGAGCUUUUGAGCUUUAGCACAGGUUUUUAUUUUUCUGCGAGUCUUUAGGGCUUUAGCGCAGGUUUUUAUUUUUCUGUGAGCUUUUGAGCUUUAGCACAGGUUUUAUUUUUCUGUGAGCUUUUGAGCUUUAGUUAUUUAAUGACUGGACCGCCAUAAAUUUAUGUUUACUUACUUAAUGUGUGAAUAUAUCUUUUUAAAUAGCAUAAGCACUUAGGUUAUGAAAGAGGAAGAUAGAGAAAUUGUCUGUCUGGCAGUAAUUUGUCAUGGUCAUUAAUGCCAAUUGCAAGAUGCCUUGGAAGUAAGUUAGGAUCAUAAAACUUUGUUCAUGCUUAAUUUAGUACCCCUGCAGAGAUAUCGGUAUCAUCAAACAGGAUAAUAGUAACAUUGAACUGUGAAUUCUUUGAUGUAGGCAUUGAUAUACAUUCUCAUCCCUAAGAUGUCCAUGCUUUAUUGUAUUGCUAGCUAAUUACUUUAUCAGUAUGGUUAAGCAAAUGGAAGUAGAAUGAUCAUAAACAAUAAAAGAUAAAAAUAAAUAAUAAUGAUAAUAAACAUUUAAAUACAAAAGUAAAUAAAUAAAAAAUGAAUACAUAUUUAACAAGUGAACAAAGUAUUAAAACUUAAUACAUAUCUAUAUAUGUAUAUAUUUUGUUAUAUAAGUAAAUAAUAAAUAAAAAAAAAUAAUAUAUAUAUAUAUAUAAUAGUAAUAGAUAAAAAAAAAAUACACACAUAUAUAUUUAUUUAUUUUUAUAAGAAUCAUAAAAAUGUUAUUAAUUAAUAAUAGCCAGAAUUUUAAUGGGUGGUAUCUCUUAUAUGGCAACAUGAAAUUAAAAUGAUUAAAAACAUAAGCAUAUAUUAAUAACGAAUUAAAUAAAUUAUGGAUUUAUUCUUAUUAAGAAUUUAAAGUGUUACUAUUUUUAAUUUAAAUAUUUGCGGCAAAGGCCAUGCCUCCAUUGUCAUGUACCAGAUUAUAUUAAUCUGGUACUAUUAUAAUAGUAGUCAGUUCCUAAUGAAUUGAUAUUUAAUGUUUCAGCGGCAAAGGCCAUUCCUCCAUGUCAUGUACCAGAUUAUUAUAUUAAUCUGGUACUAUUAUAAUAGUAGUCAGUGUUUUUGAUUUUGUUAUGAAUAACAAAACCUUAAAUAAAUAAAAUAUGGCAGUUUUAUUAUAAUUAUUAUUAUUUUAUUUUCGUAUCGACUGACCGUUAUACUUCAAUACAAUUACUACCGACAUACAUAUCCGCUAUGUAAAACAACAGUUAAGGGAAUAUACCUUUGAAAAUGAAUUUGUUUUUGUUUGAAAAACAAGGUACUUGUUCUCUCUCAUUUAUUUUACAGGAGCGCCUUGAAGAGAAUCUACAAACUUUGCUUACAGCUACUAGUAAAUACAAAAUUACGGAAGUACCAGUGUACGAGAUUAUACCACAAAAACAUUAAAGAAGGACAUCCACAUACAGGAAAUAAUUAGUUGUUAUAAAGGAAAUAAAACCUAAACAUGACCACAAACAAUCUGACGGAUGGAAACACUUAGAUGACCGUUCUUACAUUCCAGUAUUUGGAAAAAAAAAUAAAAAAUAAAAAAAAAAAACAAAUAACGAUUUCUUCAAAAAUAAAACUGCUGCAAAAACAAACCGACUCCAAAUAUUUCAAUUUCUUAACAUUUCUUGAGUGUGAACCAUUUCAUAUUUCUUUCAUAUAAGUACAUGAUAAAAUACAUGAGGCACCUUGAGAAGUUUGACAAUUUUACAUAUCAUGUAUACAAUAUCAUUGGUGAGACUUUCUGGAUUACAACUUUAAGACUCUGACACCUGAUCUGUGAUAUCUUGUGAACUUUACCCACUGCUACCAUAUUGGGGUGUAUGGUAAUAAGUAGACAAUUCAUUUAGACAUACAUUUAAAAGACGAAAGAGUAUUAAUAACACACCUUUUUUAUACUGACAAACUCACUUUUUACAGUGACUGAUUGUUAUAAUAACAUAAUAACAAUUUAGUUAAAUUUCAACAAAUGAAUUUUUUUGGUAAUAUUAAUUAUUUGUUGGAAGUUCUCGUUGCGAUAUCGGCUACAAGUUACAUGCAAGUCUGAUAAUUUACAUAAUUUAGCAUAUACCAUUGCCUGCAAUGCAGAAAUGAUAAUCAUUACAAUAUUACAUAACACUGCUGAUAGUACUAUUGAACACAUGCAAUGUUAGUUGAUGGGUAAUCAAUAUCACUGUAGUGUGGCGUAGUUUAAGUACCUGUGUUAAUUAAUACCACAUGUAACAAAUCGUAUGGGUGAUUUUAUAGGCAUUUAAUAGGUCCAUUUGUUAGACUUAUCAAUCUGAAACUUUCUUCUGAAGCAUUUAAAGAAUUAUAUUCAUUUAGUUCAUUACAACUGAAUUUAUAAGAUGGUAACGAUUAUGAAAAAUUACAAUCCUAGCGUGUGUUUAUUAUUAACGUCGAAAGUGUUAUUUACAUUAUAUGUUAUUCAUUUUAUCACGAGUUUCUUUAUAAAUUUUAGAAAUACUAUACAUUGUUAUUUUAACACAUAUUUGUUGAUAAAUAAAUGUGUUGUUUUAUUUACGACACCAUUUAAACAUAUUGUGAUGUAUUCUAAGUAUAUUAGCAAUAAUAUGCGUUAUUGACGUUAAAACAUUCCCUAAAUUGACUACGUAUGUAACACAGUGAUAUUGUGUCUAUAACACAUUUCUAAUUUGCAGCAUCAUUGUGUAUGUUAAAUAUGAGAUGCUAGAAUGAAAGAUAUAACUUUUUGGUUGAAAUUGAUUUAAUUUGACAACAUUGUCAAGAUUUAUACAUUAACGAUUUACAAGUUAAUAGAUUUUAAUCUAAUAGAGUGAAUAUAUGAGUAUUAAGAUAAUCCCAGUUUACGACACUAGUUUAACAUAUGGGGGUGUAUAUUAACUACAUGCAUGUGUUGUUUAAAUAUUAAUUAUAAUGUAUACAUUAAUUAUAAAAUUAUAUUGUAUUUUAUUUUCAAACUAUGCAUCCUGUACCUAAUAAAUAUGUUGUUAUGAGACAGUACUUGUUUAGAUAUUAGUUUAACAUAUUGGGGUGUAUGUUAAAUAUGUAGUGUUUAAAUGUUAAUUUUAACUUGUAAAUUGAAUUAACAAUUACCUAAAGUUUGUAUGUUCUUUUCGAACUAUGCAUUCACUUAAGGAAUAAAAUGUCUUAAUAAAUUAAAUCACAGUUAGACUAGUUUAACAUAUUGAAGUAUAUGUUAACUAUGUAUUGCUUAAAUGUUAAUUAUAGCUUAUAUAUUGAAUUUAAUUUAUCAGUUUAACAAAUCAAAAUGUUUUUGUAGUUUAACGCACAAGAGUGAUAAUAAACUAUGUAUAAAUAACACGUUAAUCCUAACUUUAUUUUGAACUUCAUGUUUACUUAAGAACAGUUUGUGAUAAAUAUACAUUGAUAAGAUGAGAUAAGAUAAGAUAAGAUCUGUUUAUAGUGACUCUAAUUUUAACAUUCUUGGUUUUUCAAGAACAAUACUAAUAGUGAUAGUAAGUGUAUUUUUAUAUGUAUAUACUUUUAUAUGUAGACAACAAGAUUUUUCAUAAUUAUCUAUAUUUUUGUCUGUAAAUUGUAAAGUAAUCUUUAUGUCACAAUUCGUUUUAUUAGUAACCAUCACCAAUUUCUUUAAGAUAUGUAUUUCAAGCUUAUACUGUAACGUUAAUUAAUCUGUUCUAUAUGUCUAGAAUUUACAACUGAUUAUUUUAUAUGUCUGAAAUAUAUACAACUGUAUAUUUCUUUGAUCUUAUGACAGCACAAUAACAGCAGGAGGCGCGCAAAUCGUACACUUUUGGACUUUUACCUAUAUAAGUUUCCUUUUGUUUUUGUUUUACUUUCUAAUUUUGCAUAUUAUCAUUUUGUACUCAAAAUGCAUUAACUUAACUUUUAUGUUUAGCAGCCUACUUACUUGAAGUAAAGGGUUUGUAAAAUAUUUUUCAAGGAUGUAGCCCUACAUCAAGUGGUACUAGACACAAGAUAAAAGGGCACAGGUUUCCAGACUAUGGUUUUUCCUGGGCGAGUCGACCACGAUUUGAAAAAUAUUUAUGAUCAGUAGUUUAUAUGAUAUAUACAAUAUCUUUAUAUACAAUAUUAUAUAUACAAUAUCUAUAUUUUUACAUACAUGUGUAAAUGUGGGUGUUUUUGUUGUCCAACUUUGUGUCAUUUUUAUAAAGUUUGUUACAAUUGUUGGUUUUUGUUGUUCAACUUUGUGUCAUCUAUUAUAAUGUUUACUACAAUUGUUUUCUAUAUAAAAGCGUAUUUGGAGUUUAUUGGUUAAUCUUUUGAUUAUAUCAUAAUCUAUUAUUAGACAAUAAAGACGGCCGGUAUCAUGCUGAACAUUGUUUAUAAUGAUGCAAAGACUUUAUUGUUAACUAAUUUUAAGACUUUUAGUUGCUGGUGUAAUCUGGACCAAUUCAUUAUUAAAAUUGUUAAUAUUUUUGUUGCAUAUCGAUCUAGGCAGUCAACACAAAAUGUCAACAUUUUAAUUUGUACAUAAUGAACAUCACUUGCUUGGGCUGGUGACAAUAGUUAUAACAUUGUGUGUAUAUGUAUUCGGGUCACUUGCUGGGGCUUGUGACAAAUGAUAUGUUUGAUUAUUAUUUCAUUAAAUAUCAUAGGUUGGUUAGCUUCAGUUAAAAAUAAAAAUAAAAAAAAAAUAAUACCAUUAACCAAUUUUUAUACCUUCGGGAAUUCUCUGUUAAAUAAGCCCUUUAUUGGUUAAAGUUUCAAGAUCAUUAACCUUGGUCUUCUCUCCUAUGCAGUGAAAUGUGGGGAAAAGCUAGUCUAAUUCUAGCUUUUAUGGCGUUUUUCUUACGAAACCCUCACAUUUCUUACUAUUAUAGUAGAACUCGAUUAAUUAUUAUUCCUACAUGUGUAUUUUCUAUAUUGUAUUAAUUUGCAUAAUAUUGAUGUAUGUACUAUUCUUUGCACAUGUUUAAGUAUUGUUGGUUAAAACAAUAAACAGAGGCCAUACCUUAUAGUAUGGUAUGGCCAUUAAACACAAUUUGAUAGUUUGUUAUUCCUCGCGUGGCGGUUCAUAAAUAUAAGCUAUGCCAAAUAGCAUCAGCGAACUUUAUGCGCCGCCACGGGAGGUACGGGUUUUAGCCGUUCGUAGAGACGGCUGAACGGAUAAUACCCCUACAUAAAAUCGUCUUGAACCAGUUAGCAAUUACUAAGAAGCGUACAAAGAGGAAGCAAAAAAUUUACCCUCCUCCACCCCCUUCACCACAACAAAAUUUUAAGGGUCUCAUUGUAACCCACAUAUUUCAGUGAUUGUAAGAAAGAUAGGCAGUAUUUAUUUUUUUUUUAUACAUGCAAUACUUUCUGUAACACUUGUAAUGUUAAUGAUUAUGUAAGGGGGUGUUUUUCUUAUGAACCCUUCGCAUCUCUUACUAUUAUAGUAGAAUUCGAUUUAUUAUUAAUUCUACAUGUGUAUUUUCUAUAUUGUAUUAAUUUGCAUAAUAUUGAUGUAUGUCCUAUUCUUUGCACAGUUUCAGUGCGUUUUUCUUACGAAACCCUCACAUUUCUUACUAUUAUAGUAGAACUCGAUUAAUUAUUAUUCCUACAUGUGUAUUUUCUAUAUUGUAUUAAUUUGCAUAAUAUUGAUGUAUGUACUAUUCUUUGCACAUGUUUAAGUAUUGUUGGUUAAAACAAUAAACAGAGGCCAUACCUUAUAGUAUGGUAUGGCCAUUAAACACAA
This is a long non-coding RNA of Ruditapes philippinarum (Manila clam), 7909 nucleotides long. RefSeq lists it as uncharacterized. The record is from RefSeq and is a predicted model, not a curated record. The transcript has 2 exons. NCBI's taxonomy places the organism in Eukaryota, Metazoa, Mollusca, Bivalvia, Venerida, Veneridae.